RNAcentral lists this ribosomal RNA (460 nucleotides) under uncultured bacterium. RNAcentral describes it as "partial 16S ribosomal RNA". It matches the Rfam family "Bacterial small subunit ribosomal RNA", at positions 338 to 795 of the family's 1533-position model. The record is from RNAcentral.
CCUACGGGAGGCAGCAGUGAGGAAUAUUGGUCAAUGGACGAGAGUCUGAACCAGCCAAGUAGCGUGAAGGAUGACUGCCCUAUGGGUUGUAAACUUCUUUUAUAUGGGAAUAAAACGUUCCACGUGUGGCUUUUUGCAUGUACUUUAUGAAUAAGGAUCGGCUAACUCCGUGCCAGCAGCCGCGGUAAUACGGAGGAUCCGAGCGUUAUCCGGAUUUAUUGGGUUUAAAGGGAGCGUAGGUGGUUUGUUAAGUCAGUUGUGAAAGUUUGCGGCUCAACCGUAAAAUUGCAAUUGAUACUGGCAGUCUUGAGUACAGUUGAGGUAGGCGGAAUGCGUGGUGUAGCGGUGAAAUGCUUAGAGAUCACGAAGAACCCCGAUUGCGAAGGCAGCUUACUAAACUGUGACUGACACUGAUGCUCGAAAGUGUGGGUAUCAAACAGGAUUAGAUACCCGAGUAGUC